GAUGAACGCUAGCUACAGGCUUAACACAUGCAAGUCGAGGGGCAGCGCAGUGUAGCAAUACAUGGGCGGCGACCGGCGCACGGGUGCGUAACGCGUAUCCAACCUUCCCGAUAUGUCAUAUAAGUAGAUUAUAUGAUGAAAGAUUUAUCGGUUAUGGAUGGGGAUGCGUAAGAUUAGGUAGUAGGCGGGGUAACGGCCCACCUAGCCGACGAUCUUUAGGGGUUCUGAGAGGAAGGUCCCCCACACUGGUACUGAGACACGGACCAGACUCCUACGGGAGGCAGCAGUGAGGAAUAUUGGUCAAUGGGCGGAAGCCUGAACCAGCCAAGUAGCGUGAAGGAUUACAGCCCUACGGGUUUUAAACUUCUUUUAUAUAAGAGUAAUGUGGUCUACGUGUAGAUUAUUGCAAGUAUUAUAUGAAUAAGCAUCGGCUAACUCCGUG
RNAcentral lists this ribosomal RNA (442 nucleotides) under uncultured bacterium. RNAcentral describes it as "bacterial SSU rRNA". It matches the Rfam family "Bacterial small subunit ribosomal RNA", at positions 28 to 507 of the family's 1533-position model. The record is from RNAcentral.